This 120-nucleotide ribosomal RNA is filed under the name uncultured bacterium. RNAcentral's name for it is "partial 16S ribosomal RNA". It matches the Rfam family "Bacterial small subunit ribosomal RNA", at positions 215 to 334 of the family's 1533-position model. The record is from RNAcentral.
UCACUAUAGGAUGGGCCCGCGGCGCAUUAGCUAGUUGGUGGGGUAACGGCCUACCAAGGCGACGAUGCGUAGCCGACCUGAGAGGGUGAUCGGCCACACUGGGACUGAGACACGGCCCAG